Long non-coding RNA from Bos taurus (domestic cattle), 559 nucleotides. Lineage: Eukaryota; Metazoa; Chordata; Mammalia; Artiodactyla; Bovidae. The record is from Ensembl.
GUUAAACCAUUACUUUUUAGUGCCAAGUAAUAUUUCAUGGUCUUUAUAUACCACAGUUUAUUCAUAAGCCUACUAAAGGAUAUUUUUGUUAUUUUCGAAAUUUGACAAUUAUGCUUCCCUAGUGGCUCAGAUGGUAAAGCGUCUGCCUGUGAUGCAGGAGACCUGGAUUCUAUCCCUGGGUCAGGAAGAUCCUCUGGAGAAGGAAAUGGCAAUUCACCCUGGUAUGCUUGUCUGGAAAAUUCCAUGGAUGGAGAAGCCUGGAAAAUUCAGGUAUAAUUUUGAACGUAAGUGGUGAGAGUAAGGGCCUUCCAGGUGGCUCAGUGGUAAAGAAUCUGCCUGCCAAUGCAGGAGAUGCAGUAAUCCCUGGGUUGUGAAGAUGCCCUGGAGGAGGAAAUGGCAACCCUCUCCAGUAUUAUUGCCUGGGAAGUGCCAUGGACAGAGGAGCCUGGCGGGCUACAGUCCGUGGAUCGUGAAAGAGUCAGACACGACAGAGCACACAGCACAGAGUACAUCAGGCAAAUGCCAGGCUGGAUGAAGCACAAGCUGGAAUCAAGAUAAC